CGCGCCCGGGGCGGCGAGGCGAGGCGAGGCGCGGCGCGGCUAUGGCGCUCUUCUGCAUCAACAGGUACGGCGAGGAGGAGGAAGGGGCCGAGGCGGAGGACCGGGCUCGGGUGCUGCUGGAGCGGCUGCGGCAGCAGGCAAAGGCUCGGCAGCUGAAGAAGCAGCGGGAGGCGCGGCCCGGGGGAGGGGAAGGCGAGCGGCCCGAGGGAGCCGGCGCGGGGCUGAGCCCCGGGGCUGAACCCGGGGAAGGAAGGGGAAAGAGACAGAGGGAGAGCGGAGAGCAGGGCUGUGCGCAAGGACAGAAGAGGCUAAGGGAGAAACAGCAGCCUCGCAGUGCUUCCGAAGAAAGGGCAGACACUGAGGAGGCAGCAGAUGGCAGCACUCCAUCGAAGAAGAAGAAAGAAAAUAGAAGAAAAUCAAAAGUGCAGCAAGAGAGGACUGAAGCAGAUUCUGAAGAAUACAUCAAACAACAGGAAAACAGAAACGACCUGAAAGAUAAGUCUUCUAAAAGGAAAAAGGAGGAUGAGGAAACAGAGGGACCUAACAGUGAAAGAGCUGAAGGAAAUCAAAGCCUAAAGGGGGAGGUCUCCUUAACAACCUUGGAGGAAGCGACAAAUCCUCCACCCUCCAGUUUGGUGGUUCUUGGAGACUAUGACAGAAAGCCAGUGCAGAAGGUUCAGCCUUUCUUACCACAGUGGCUUGCUCAACCCAAACUAGUUCAAAAACGUAUCAAAGAUAAUCUAGUUCCAAUCGGAGAUGUCCCAGGAAUUCACCCCCGGCUGUUGAAAAAGCUGCAAAUGAAUGGGAUAGAGUCCUUUUUUCCAGUUCAGGCACAGGUGAUUCCUGCUAUUCUACAGAGUGCAUCCAAUGGGUAUUUGAUGGCACAGGGAGGAUACCGCCCCAAAGACAUCUGUGUCUCUGCACCUACUGGCAGUGGUAAAACCCUGGCUUUUGUCAUACCCAUAGUACAGGUUCUGCUAGAUCGAGUAGUUUGCCAUGUACGAGCUCUGGUCGUUCUGCCCACCAAAGAACUGGCGCAACAGGUGAGUAAAGUGUUCAACAUUUACACUGAUGGCACAGGCCUGAAGGUCGUUUUGAUUACUGGCCAGAAAUCUUUCGCAAAGGAACAGGAGAUGCUUGUGAAGAAAAAAGUGACAGGCUACUGCAGUCUGGCUGAUAUUAUUGUGGCUACACCAGGGCGGCUCACAGACCACAUUAGCCAGACCCCGGGGUUCAGCCUGACACAGCUUCGCUUCCUGAUCGUAGAUGAAGCUGACCGUAUGAUCGAUGACAUGCACCAGAACUGUCUGAACCAAAUUGUCAAAGCUGUGUUCCAAGUAGAAAAUUACUCUGGCUCCAGCAUGCUUUUUCAGAGGACCAAACCAGGGCCUAUAACAGCAGCCAGCUCCUGCUAUCCUCAGAUACCCUUACAGAAGCUGUUGUUUUCAGCCACGCUGACCCAGGACCCAGAGAAACUGCAGCAGCUGGACUUAUUCCAGCCUCGGCUCUUCACAUCUGUCUAUUCUGAGAAAAAAGUGCUUGGAGAUGGAACAGAGACUGAACAGGGUACUAAUAAGAAAUACACACUCCCCGAGGGGCUAUCGCAAUGUUAUGUGCCUUGUGACCUGAAUUCCAAGCCUUUGCUCCUCUUGCAUUUCAUGCUGACAAUGAAAUUUACCCGCGUGUUGUGCUUUACCAACUCCAGGGAAGCUUCUCACAGAUUGUUCCUGUUGGUUCGAGCCUUUGGUGGAGUCACUGUGGCUGAAUUUUCUUCUCGGUUACCUCCAAAUGAGAGACAGAGAACCAUGAAGGAAUUUGAACAAGGGAAAAUACAACUGUUAAUCAGCACAGAUGCCACUGCACGAGGGAUUGACGUUAAAGGAGUGAAUUACGUAAUAAACUAUGAUGCUCCGCAGUUCAUCAGGACAUAUAUUCACCGAGUUGGAAGAACAGCUCGUGCAGGAGAAGUGGGUGUUGCUUUCAGCUUGGUCCUUAGAAUUCAGGAACGUAGGUUUCUGCGGAUGUUGAGGGAUGCUGGCAUCCAGGACAUAAAGAAGCAACCAGUGAAGGGCAACUCAUUAAAGCCAUUGGUGCAGCAAUAUGAGGAAGCUCUUUGUAAGCUUGAGAAGACAGUCAAGAACGAACGAGCACAAAAACGAGCCUGAAUGAACGGAAGCCGAGAGGGUCGUGUCUUAUGGUGCUGGAGCUGCUGAGCGGGAUAGGUCAUGGACUACUACCCAGCAGAGCAACUGUCUGGUGUCAGAGCCGCAGGAAUGGAAACCCCUCACGCGAGAGCUGUGAGCCCCCAGCAAAACAAGGCUCUGCCUCUGGCGCACCUGCACCCCCUCCGCCCAGCUUCGGUUUUUCCUUGCCAGGAAGCGAUUAAGGGCAGUUACUAAGCCCAAGCUCAAGCGGGCGGUGGCAGAGCCGGGUCGGAGCUGCGCCCUGCAGAGCU
Molecule: RNA transcript, 2455 nt
Organism: Tyto alba (common barn owl)
Lineage: Eukaryota; Metazoa; Chordata; Aves; Strigiformes; Tytonidae
Gene: DDX51
Gene name: DEAD-box helicase 51
Exons: 17
Source: RefSeq, a predicted model, not a curated record